Molecule: ribosomal RNA, 254 nt
Filed under: uncultured bacterium
Lineage: Bacteria
Description: partial 16S ribosomal RNA
Rfam family: Bacterial small subunit ribosomal RNA
Source: RNAcentral
UACGAAGGGGGCUAGCGUUGCUCGGAAUCACUGGGCGUAAAGGGUGCGUAGGCGGGUCUUUAAGUCAGGGGUGAAAUCCUGGAGCUCAACUCCAGAACUGCCUUUGAUACUGAAGAUCUUGAGUUCGGGAGAGGUGAGUGGAACUGCGAGUGUAGAGGUGAAAUUCGUAGAUAUUCGCAAGAACACCAGUGGCGAAGGCGGCUCUCUGGACCGAGACUGACGCUGAGGCGCGAAAGCGUGGGGAGCAAACAGGG